This 492-nucleotide ribosomal RNA is filed under the name uncultured bacterium. RNAcentral's name for it is "partial 16S ribosomal RNA". It matches the Rfam family "Bacterial small subunit ribosomal RNA", at positions 29 to 507 of the family's 1533-position model. The record is from RNAcentral.
AGUGAACGCUGGCGGUAGGCCUAACACAUGCAAGUCGAACGGCAGCACAGUAAGAGCUUGCUCUUACGGGUGGCGAGUGGCGGACGGGUGAGGAAUACAUCGGAAUCUACUCUUUCGUGGGGGAUAACGUAGGGAAACUUACGCUAAUACCGCAUACGACCUACGGGUGAAAGCAGGGGAUCUUCGGACCUUGCGCGAUUGAAUGAGCCGAUGUCGGAUUAGCUAGUUGGCGGGGUAAAGGCCCACCAAGGCGACGAUCCGUAGCUGGUCUGAGAGGAUGAUCAGCCACACUGGAACUGAGACACGGUCCAGACUCCUACGGGAGGCAGCAGUGGGGAAUAUUAGACAAUAGGCGCAAGCCUGAUCCAGCCAUACCGCGUGGGUGAAGAAGGCCUUCGGGUUGUAAAGCCCUUUUGUUGGGAAAGAAAAGCAGCAGGUUAAUACCCCGCUGUUCUGACGGUACCCAAAGAAUAAGCACCGGCUAACUUCGUG